AGUCCUGAUUUCAGAGGUCAUGACCCGGGCUGUCUACCUGCCUCAGAGAGUCUCAGAGGAUCAUGCCGGAGGAAGUGGCUGACCACACAGGGAUUAGCGAAGUCUGGGGGUUGGGUGCAGAACGAGGGGCUGCAAUUCAGCCUCAGAGGUAACAACCCCACCUCAGCUCUGGCUUUUUAUAACCCUUCCGUGAAGUGGCUGGGACAGAAGGAAUUGUCUGAGUCCAUGUACAGGGAGCAGCUCUGGAUGGUGGCUCAGCCAUCCCUACCAGAGCUUCUCGGCUUUGCCCAGGAGGAGGACUGAGGAUGCCCAGGGCCAAAGGCCCCCACAGAGAUCACCAUGUGUGAGCCCACAAUAACUCGUCUCAUAGCAGGGCAAGAGGGGUGACAAAUCCAUGGGGGGUGAAGCAACCUAAAGCAACAAAAUGGUGCCCUAGUCUCCACGGAUCAGAGACUGACCUGUCAAGCAUUGGAGAGGAAUAGGACAUCCAAUUCAUCCCGGCAAGGGAGUCCCUAAUAAGGGAGAUGCAUCCAGGAUAUAAUUUAAAACUUUGGAUAUAAGAUAGUAUGUCUCACUUCCAAGUUGCUGAUCUCUCUUUCAUGUUUGCCAUAAUUUGGCCUAAACUGCUGCUUCAUCCUGCUGUUCAUCUUUCCCCCCCGACGUGGGACAGAUCACUCAAAGAAAGUGAGCUGAGAUGCUUCUUUCAAUCACCACCUGGGAAAGAGCCUUCCCAACACUGAGAGAUUUAUACUUUAAAAAGUAAGACCUUUUCAAUCAAGAUAUUGAUCAUCAAUGCUUUUAUGAGGAAUGCCUUGAUCAUAAAGAGGGAAAUAACGUUUUCUCUACAAAAGCAGUUCUCUAAAUCUUCCUGGCCUUAAAGAGGGUGUUUGUAACUUGGAUAAGACAUCCUGUUCUUAAACAAAAGACUUGUAAUUGAUCAAAAAUUUCACAAAGGACUAGAUGCUUUGAAAGCAGUAAUGUCCUGGACAGGUAAACUAAUAAUAACAAACUCUCUGGACUUGGAAACAACUAUUGUACCGAGCAGAAUCCCAUUCUGGAGUUUCAACAAUUGACAGUUACACCCAAUUCACAGCACCUGGAAUGAUGCUGCUGCAGCCACCCUGAGAUGAUGACAUCAUCAGUCCUCACCUGAAGUAAAUUAAAAGGACUUGUCAUGAUAAAUGAUACCAACUUUGCUUUAAAUGCUUUUGUCUUAACUGUGCCAACCUGAUCUAUAGCUCUUGCUUUUUCUUUUAAACAAAUAAAAUGGGGGAAGAUGUA
Cynocephalus volans (Philippine flying lemur) is the source of this 1281-nucleotide long non-coding RNA. RefSeq lists it as uncharacterized. NCBI's taxonomy places the organism in Eukaryota, Metazoa, Chordata, Mammalia, Dermoptera, Cynocephalidae. The transcript has 5 exons. The record is from RefSeq and is a predicted model, not a curated record.